This 1160-nucleotide long non-coding RNA is filed under the name Apteryx rowi (Okarito brown kiwi). RNAcentral's name for it is "lncRNA (ENSARWG00000003249.1)". Lineage: Eukaryota; Metazoa; Chordata; Aves; Apterygiformes; Apterygidae. The record is from RNAcentral.
AUAACUCUAAGCCUUUAGAGAAUGCCCAUAACCCUCUCUUGUUCUUAAUGUACCGCCUCGGACUGCAAGUGGAUCAGGAARCCGUGCUGGAAUGGAAUCUUAAGCAGUACCUCUCCUUGCUGGCUGAAAACUUUUUAUUUUAUUUUUUUAGUUAGUCAUAGAUUUAAAAAAACCACAGAGAACAUCCCCUGCCCCAUGAGGUGAAUCUGGCUUUUGCCCUAGUUUCACAAGUCAUAUUUUGUUGGAGAAUGUAAGCUCCUAAAAUCAGUUUUGCAUUUGGGCCUUUAAUUCUUACGUGGAGUGCAAAUCCUGGCAUGUAACAUAGCAAAGGGUUGAUGUUUCUCAACAAAUCUAACAGUGACAGGUAGUAGCUAAAGACUCAAUUUAAAGAACAAAGGCUUAGUUGCACUGAGCACUGUGCAAACCUCAAGACRCCUUGCAGGAAUGAAGGCUGCUAUCMGCUGUUGGCCUGCCAAAAACUUGGAUUUUARCAUCUAAGCAAAGGAAGCAGAGGGAAGUGAUGUUGUGUGGCUAAUUGAGUAUAUUCCUUGUGUGUGCUAGGAGUGAUCAAUGGAUAAUAAAAGCAGGUUCGCAAGUGUCUGGUUAGUGUAUUAUCUGUAUUGAGUACUGUAUGCUACUUCCAAAUUGCCUUUCUUUGAAGACAGAGGAAAAUUCUCCCUUUUUUUGUGUUCGUUAGGAAAUUCCCCAACAACUUAAUGGAAGCGACUGUGGGGUUUUUAUGUGCAAAUAUGCAGAUUACAUCUCCAGAGACAAACCGAUCACUUUCACACAGAAUAACAUGCCUUACUUCCGCAGGAAGAUGGUGUGGGAAAUAAUCCAUCAGCAGCUGCUGUGAGACAUGCACUAUUAGAGUAACACUGUGAUCACCGUGUGGUGACUAACUCUCGUUUUAAUUAUUUUUCUAAUGCCUUAUUUCAAAAGGCACACAAAUUUUCCUCUUUAGGCUAUAAAGUAGUGGUUAAUUUUUUUUUCCAAAUUUURGAGACGGCAACUCUCUUUGAAAUCAGCUAGUGCACCAUAAGUGCAAGACAAAGACUGCUGUGUCCUUGCCCAAGGAAUGGUUAAGAACGGAUGCUAUGUGAACCUCUGCUCCUACCUUGCAGCACACGUGGGCCAGAUUACGGACAAAUGGGACUUUU